Molecule: unclassified non-coding RNA, 333 nt
Filed under: Hevea brasiliensis (rubber tree)
Lineage: Eukaryota; Viridiplantae; Streptophyta; Magnoliopsida; Malpighiales; Euphorbiaceae
Source: RNAcentral
CAUGACUGUACCUAGUAAAUUGAUUGAUUAUUCACUCUCCCAUUAUUUUAUCUGACACGGACAUUGUAACAGUGCAUAGUAAAGUCAACGUGGCAUUUUCUGGUUGGAUGUAAGAUAUUAUAAACUUAAAAUGAAUAGCAGAUUAAAAUAAAAUAUACUCCAAAGGAUAAAAUCAUAAAAUACCUAACUUUCAUAGGGGUAUUUGGGCUGCUGCAAUUAACCCACUUACAUGUCUUCUGCUAAAGAGCGAAGAAAGCUGAACCCAGAAAGAAAACACACACACUACCUCUGAAUCCAGACAGCUCCUACUCUUUGUUCUAUGACUAGAAAAAG